CGAAUGGACUGUACUCUUAAUACUGUGUGCAUCUCCUCCUUCUACAGUGGUUCUGCUUUCAGGUUGGAAAUCCGACGGUGAGCAACCUGUCAGUGAAUGAUCAGGGUUGAACUGUAGGACUUCUAGUUUGGGUGGCAAAUUAGGAAAAACAUUCUAAGAGGGUCAAAAUUCAAAAUUUUUAUUAUUAAAACUAAAAAUCUAAUUUGUUAGAGGAGAAGGCUAGAAAAAAAAUUACUUGCAAGAGCCGUGGCCCUGCCAGCCCCCUGCUUCCGCCACUGGGAGCAACUCACAAAUAUGAAAUUAUCUUAUCAGCAUCAGAAAAGGUAGAAGGAGGAGAUGCACACUGUAUUAAGAUGCAUCAGGCUUCCUUCUAAAAACUCCAGCUCUUCACUCCUCUUACUAUCAGCCUAGGAAGGUGAUGGUAUUAUUGAUCUGGGUCUCAGUCUCAGUCUCAGUCUCAGUCUCAGUCUCAGAACCUUGCAACCUGCAGCUCAUCAUCCCUUAUUCCUCUCAUUAACUCUUGUUCAACUUUUGUAGCUCUGCCCAUGAAAAAAAAUUCUUUCUUUCAUGAAGUUAGUGUUGCAGUGAUAUACUUUAGUUUACGAGUAUUUUUGGAGAAAAGAUGUUGGUAAAUCAUGAAAUAAUCGAGAAAACUCUGUGACUAUAAAAAAUGCCAAAAAAAGGAAGAAAUUUUAUGGGAGAAAGAACUAUUCUUUACGACGAAAAACCAUUGUGAUAGAAUCAGGAUACUUGAACGACAUGUAUAGUGAUGCUUGUUCUUAAUACUGACAAGAUCUGAUUAGAAAUUAUUGCAGUUUGUCAAUUGGGACAAUACAGGAUGUCUUUGCUUAGCUGAAUGACUUUCCAUUUGCAUUCAAAGCUUGAGCCUCAAGAAGCAGCCCAUUUUUUGUCUGUAGCUUCCAAUCCGAGAAUACGUUUUAAAAAUGAUUUUAUUUAAAAAAAAAACUGUUAUUUUUAUUUUUUUAAAUAAUUUUUUUAAUAUGUUAAUAUAAAAAAUAAAUUUAAAAAAAUAAAAAAAGUAUUAUUUUAAUAUUUUUUAAAAAAUAAUUUAAAAAACAAUUAUGCAAAUACCUAGCCGAGUUUCUGGUGCAUGUAUUAUCAUUUCUUAUUAUGCAUUACUCUGGAUGCAUUUGGGAAUGUAAAUGAAAAAUUAAUGUAUAGAGAACUAAUUAUAAAAUUAUGUAACUUUUAAGUUUAAUUUUGCAAUCAGGAUAUUCUUAGAAGAACUUUCAUACAUAUAUUAAAAUUGAUUUUUUUAUUUAAUUUUAAAUAUAAAUAAUAAUCAUUUGAACAAUGAAAAAUAAUAUAACGUUUUUGUUAUUUUUUUUGUAAUGUGUUUUUUUAUAAAUAUUAAAAUGAUGUUUUUGUUUUUUGUUUUAUAUAUUUGAGGGCUUUAUGGGCCUUUUAAGGUAUUGUUUCGUUAUGGGCCCAUGAGGAGGGCAUCCUUGUGGACCUUUUCCUCUUUAAAGAUGAGACACUCAAGAUGGAGCAGAUUGCAGUAAUCUAGAGAGAAACCUUCGCAGAUGAGAUGACAGGGCGGCGACAAGCGUUUUUAGGGUUUCUGCCACUGCUUUUCACUUACAACAAUAAAUAGACAGGUGGGUGGACAUUGUUUGCAGAGACAAGUGGAUGGUUUUAAAAUUUAGUUAAAAUAUAAUGGGCAGCAAAGGUUACUCUUCUGGCUUUCAUAGUUAUAACAUCUUGAUCAAUGGCCAUUGUAAGAGUAGAAGGAUCCAUGAAGCAAUAACUCUCUUUGCUAAAAUGUGUGAUAAAACAUUGACUCCUGGUAUUUCACUCUUACAGUGCCCAUUGAUUAAGAUGGUAUAAUGUUGUUAUCAAGGGAUUUCUUCUCAAAAACUGCACAUCACACAUUGUACAAGAUCUCAACGACAAGUUUGAUAGAAGAUCUUUGUGCAUUCAUCCAUGGUAAGCAUGCUAAUGGAUCUGGUAUCCGAUGGCAAAAUUAUAAUGUGUUUCUAUGAGGAGAUUCUCGAAAUGGGAAUUUCAAUUGAAGUAUCAUUUUCAGCUCAGCAAUGCUGUGGAGGUCUUCCUUCAAAACAGUUAGGCUGCAAUAACUCAUGUAAGUUAUUGUUACCCAAUUUGUCCACCUUAAGAACGGUAGAAUCUACUAUUUCCUCUUCAUAUGGUGAUGUGUCUUGGCUCUAGGUCAUGCUGUAGGUUCUACUGUAUAUAUGGUAAAAAGUGAUCAGUGAUUAUUGUUCUUGCUGGUUGUUUCUGAUAAAUUUACAUGUUUAAGUAAUCCAAGGGUUUAUUUUUGGGGCUACUUUUGUUGAAUUUAAAAGAACACAACCUCCGCUAAUUCUCUACACUUCUCCUUCGAUCAUGAGCUCUUGGUUUAUAACUCGUUUAAGGUACUAAGGUUGAUGAUUUAAUGAUGACAUUUGAUUCUGUUCA
Molecule: long non-coding RNA, 2436 nt
Organism: Populus nigra (black poplar)
Lineage: Eukaryota; Viridiplantae; Streptophyta; Magnoliopsida; Malpighiales; Salicaceae
Exons: 2
Source: RefSeq, a predicted model, not a curated record